This 237-nucleotide ribosomal RNA is filed under the name uncultured Candidatus Saccharibacteria bacterium. RNAcentral describes it as "partial 16S ribosomal RNA". It matches the Rfam family "Bacterial small subunit ribosomal RNA", at positions 583 to 818 of the family's 1533-position model. Lineage: Bacteria; Candidatus Saccharimonadota. The record is from RNAcentral.
UAAAGCGAAUAGUGAAAUCUGGGGGCUCAACCUCACAGGCUAUUAUUCGAACUCACAAACUCGAGAGUGGUAGAGGUAACUGGAAUUUCUAGUGUAGGAGUGAAAUCCGUAGAUAUUAGAAGGAACACCGAUGGCGUAGGCAGUCUACUGGCUCAUUUCUGACACUAAGGCACGAAAGCGUGGGGAGCGAACGGGAUUAGAUACCCCGGUAGUCCACGCCGUAAACGAUGGAUACUA